This is a non-coding RNA of Rhinolophus ferrumequinum (greater horseshoe bat), 1328 nucleotides long. The record is from the annotation of a RefSeq genome assembly. NCBI's taxonomy places the organism in Eukaryota, Metazoa, Chordata, Mammalia, Chiroptera, Rhinolophidae.
AUGCCAACCCUGUGCAUUUUCCUUCUGUCUUUGGCGUGGGUCUAUGGAGACAGCAAAAUGAGAAUAUCUCAGGAUCAACUCUCCCUUACGCGGACACCAGACAAGACAGUGCACAUACGCUGCAAGCUGUCUGGGGUUCCCCUUGACAAUGUCAUCGUGCACUGGUAUCAACAGAAAGAAGGGGAGCUCCUGAGACGAAUCCUUUAUGGUUCCACCAAGAGUUACAAGCUAGACGCUCCCAAUCCCCGCUUGGAGACAGACAUGAAAGAGAACGGAGUCUUUUACCUGAUAAUCAAUAAGGUCACCAAGUCCGAUGAAGGCACCUACUACUGUGCCUGCUGGGGGAUCAAGAUCUUUGCAGAAGGAACUAAACUCAUAGUAACUGCCCCUGACAGAAACUUUGGUCCAGAAUUCUCCCCCAAGCCCACUAUUUUUCUUCCUUCAACGGCUGAAAUAAACCUCCAAAAGGCUGGCACAUACCUUUGUCUUCUUGAGAAUUUUUUCCCUGAUGUUAUUAAGGUACAUUGGAAGGAAAAGAACAGCAAUACGAUUCUGGAAUCCCAGCAGGGAUCUACCAUGAAGACUAAUGACACAUACAUGAAAUUCAGCUGGCUGACCCUGAAUGCAAACUCAAUGAAUAAAGAGCACAAAUGUGUAGUCAGACACGAGAAUAAUGUAAAUGGAGUUGAUCAAGAGAUUCUUUUUCCUUCAAUGAAGAAAGAGGUCGAUGGUAAUAAUCCUAGAGAAAAAGAUUGUUUGAAAGAUCAAAGUGGUACACUGCAGCUGCAGCUCAUCAACACCUCUGCCUACUACACCUACCUCCUCCUCCUGCUCAAGAGUGUCGUCUACUUUGCCAUCAUCACCUUCUGUCUGUUUAAGAGAACAGCAGUCUGCGGCAACGGAGUCAGUAACAGAUGGUAGCACAAGGGGUCAAUUCUUCUUCGUUUAUUGUCCCUGACAGAGUUUGCUGAGGAUCUAGCUGGGAAUCCUUUCUGGGCUUGGUGUAUUUCAGUUCACAUGUGCAUUUUUCUAUGAUGCCAUUAUUGCAUAACAGUUUUGCAAACUACUCACACAGAAAAUUCCAUCUGUAACAAUAACUAAUCCCGCCAUUACUCAGGAGGAGGGCCAAGGGGUAGCCUUUAGCACCACUCUCUCCAGAGUCUCUGUCGGCAGCUACAGCCACCCACAUUGUCAUGCCUUUGAGUGUAGACCACAUGCAGCUUCCAGGCAUGGUCCUCCGUGCCCUUUAACCAAAUACCUGCCUUGCAGCUUUCCAUUUAUACACCCUGAAGCCGCCAUAGUUGCUGCUUGAAUUAUGUACUUUUUCA